Molecule: ribosomal RNA, 253 nt
Filed under: uncultured bacterium
Lineage: Bacteria
Description: partial 16S ribosomal RNA
Rfam family: Bacterial small subunit ribosomal RNA
Source: RNAcentral
GACAGAGGAUGCAAACGUUGCUCGGAAUUACUGGGCGUAAAGCGCGCGCAGGCGGUUUCGUAAGUCGGGUGUGAAAGCCCCGGGCUUAACCCGGGAAGUGCAUUCGAUACUGCGGGACUAGAGUACUGGAGAGGAGAGCGGAAUUCCCGGUGUAGAGGUGAAAUUCGUAGAUAUCGGGAGGAACACCAGUGGCGAAGGCGGCUCUCUGGACAGAUACUGACGCUGAGGCGCGAAAGCGUGGGAAGCAAACAGG